This 273-nucleotide RNase P RNA is filed under the name Candidatus Micrarchaeota archaeon CG1_02_55_22. RNAcentral's name for it is "RNase P RNA component". It matches the Rfam family "Archaeal RNase P". Rfam says of the family: Ribonuclease P (RNase P) is a ubiquitous endoribonuclease, found in archaea, bacteria and eukarya as well as chloroplasts and mitochondria. The record is from RNAcentral. Lineage: Archaea; Nanobdellati; Microcaldota.
GCUGGGGAGUGCACAGCCGUCGGUAGCGUUCCCGUCAAAGGGGCGCAGCUGAGGAAGUUCCGCCCUCCCAACCAUUAGGUUGCAUGGGCACGCAAGUGCCACCGUUUAAGGCGGUAGCGUGGAACAGAAACGAUAACCCUUCCCGGAGCCGAAUGGGCCGCAAGGCGACACUGUCCGGGCAAAGGGGUUGAAACGAGCCGCGCUUGGAGCAAGGCCAUCGAGCCGCUUAGUCGAAUGCUGUGGACAACAGAAGGCGGACUACGGCUCCCCUCC